RNAcentral lists this long non-coding RNA (405 nucleotides) under Papio anubis (olive baboon). Its description in RNAcentral is "lncRNA (ENSPANG00000050689.1)". The record is from RNAcentral. Lineage: Eukaryota; Metazoa; Chordata; Mammalia; Primates; Cercopithecidae.
GAGGUGGUAGUUACUUAUCUUAGAAUGUGAGUUGUGCCAUUUCAAAUCUUUUUGCUGUCUUCAUAAGCUGUUGAAUUGAAGAACUGUUUCGGUAAUCAUUUUAUGUGUAGGAAACUGGAUCGGUUGGACUCCACCUGACUGUGAGAAUCAAGUGUCUGACGUCCAGAGUCUUUGCCAUUUGACCAAAACUGAGGGCCUUCCCCCUUUUGCUCAUUCUUCUCCUUGCUGCUGCCAUGUGAAGAAGAACGUGUUUGCUUCCUCUUCCACCAUGAUUGAAAGGCCUCCAUGAUUCCCUGAGGCCUCCCCAGUCAUGCUGAACUGUGAAUAAGCAAGACUCUGGGAGGCUGCCUGACUUGUGUGUGGCCGACCGCUGUGGCAGAGCAUGGACUUGAAUUUGGGCUUCUA